UCGCACCUACCGAUGUACGCUCCAAUGAAAUUUCGGGAUCUGACGCUUUCAUGGGUUAAACCUGAUUCGUCGGAAAACUUGCUUAAAUUGGAUUGUGUAGAGGAAGGUG
This 109-nucleotide ribosomal RNA is filed under the name uncultured eukaryote. RNAcentral's name for it is "partial small subunit ribosomal RNA". The record is from RNAcentral.